RNAcentral lists this long non-coding RNA (3039 nucleotides) under Equus caballus (horse). RNAcentral's name for it is "lncRNA (ENSECAG00000043955.1)". The record is from RNAcentral. Lineage: Eukaryota; Metazoa; Chordata; Mammalia; Perissodactyla; Equidae.
CUUUCUUAUCUUCAUUAAUCUGCUCCACGUCCCUUAGCUGGGAAUCAAACCCUGUUCGCUGAUCCCAGCACGCACCUGCUCCUUUCCUGAGUGCUCACUGGAUGGGUCCUUUCCACCCGGCCACGCUCCUGCAAGGAGAAGAUGCUCUAACACUGCUGAUGCUGGACUAGAACCUGAGACCCAUGGUCUCUACUAGACAAAGCAACAUAUUCUACCUUUAUUCUCCAUUCUUUCCUAGGCAGAUAGGUGGCAAUCCUGCAGGCCACACGUUCGCCACAAUGAUUGUUUCCCUUCUCCGAAUGCCAACAACACAUGUAACCCCACGUUACAAUUUAGAGCCUGAUAAUAUGCUGUCAUGUCUCGUCUCAUGUGCUCAUCUCGUGCCUCCAACUAGAGUCUGAACUUUUCAAAUAGAGGGCCCAGGAAAGCUUAGGAUUCUCUUUCAUUCUUCCCAAAGCUAAACUCCCAGCAGCACUCAAUCAAUACUUGUUGACUGGCUGAUCAGGCUAGAUUAGGCCUGUGAACAUGACCACCCCCAAGGCCCCGACCAAUACACCAGAAAAGGGCUCACUUGAUCCCAGUGCUUUCCCUGCAUACACUGGUCCUCUGGGUUUCGGCUACUCUCUCCUUCCUUUGAUCCACACUUGUAAACAUGAAUUUACUCAUCUUACUCCAGCUUCUGGAAAGGGUCCCCAAGCAUCAAAGGGACAUCCAACCUCACAAACACCAGCAAUGACCUCACCCUCGGAAUGGAGGACACUAAGUGGGGCUUGUUAGGGGCUGAAAACAGUGCAAGGUCAUCUCUGAACUUUGGGGAUCAGUUAUGAGGUUUCCAUUUCUAUGUGGCCCCGUGUGAGGCUGAGAAUGGAGACAGAAAUCAGCUGUCUUCAUCUCAUAGGUAGGAAGGCACUGUCAAACCCACCCUCUCCCAGGGAAUCAAAGACCAGAGACUUUAAUAGCUCCCCACGGUGACUAACUGUGGAUUUUGGCUAAGGAAAAAGCAGAAUGCCAUCCUCACCAGAUACGGCAGCAGAUGAAGAGAAAGGAGCAAAGGAGCGCCAUCACGGGCCUCAGGAGAACGCUGCCACAGCAUGGCUUGAUGAGCAGUGUGUAGGCCUACACCCAGGAUCCAAACUUACGAACCCCAGGCUGCCAAAGCAGAGCGUGAGAACUUAACCACUAUGCCACCAGGCCAGCCUCUAAAAAAUCACAGGAAGUCUUUACAAGCAAAUGAGAAAAGUAAGGGUGAGUUGGCCAAGAUCGCCCAGCCAGCAAGCGGCAGAGGAAUAAACUGACCCCAGGACUUCCAAAUGCUACGGCCUGUGCUCUGGGGUGUCUGCAGCAGGAGUGGCAGCUGAGCAUCGGGACUGACAGUGGGGACCUGGGAGUCACCAACACUCACCUUUACUGGCUGUGUGACCCAGGGUGAGUUAAUUAUCCUCAUCUCGUCUCAGUUUCUUCAUCCAUAAAACAGUGCUAAUAACAACUGUGACACACGGUUACCGUGAGGAUUAAAGGAGAGAAGGUAUAUGCAAAGCACUCAGCUCACUGGCCAACACACAGUCAACACUCACGAAAUGGCAGUUGUUUUUAUUACACUCCACUGCCCAGGCAGGGACAUCUGUGUCUUCUGAACUCUCUACUUGCCUGUAUAGUGGCCACGAGAUACAAAACUCUGUAUGCAGCAGGUGCUUAACACAGGUUGGGGAAGAACAACUUCCUUCUAUCCAGCUACCCCACCUCCCAAACAGCCGUGGCCGAGAUUCACAGCCACAGGCGACGAGAAUAAGCCCAGUGCCAGAGGCAGGGUGGGACUGCUACACCGGGUCACAAUGGCCAGGGGGGCUGGGACCAGGUGGCAUCUGUGAAUCUGCCCUUGAUGAACACGUUCCGGGCCCAAGGAGGCCACGGCCACAGGCCACCCACAAGAUGGCCGCCAGCGGGGCGUGGGCAGCCCGGCACACUCGGGCCUCCCCGGUGGCGGCCGCGUUUCCUCCACUUUCUGCCUCACACCUCCCUCCCCUGGGGCUCCAGAUCUCUGCUCCCAGGGCUGGGGAACAUGUCUGUCCUUGGUGAGAAGAGCAAAUAAAAGCGCAUGGCCUACUUCCAGCAACCUCGCUGUUUCUCACUUGAAGAUUAAAAUAAUAAACACACAGACAUAGAGGCUGGAGAGUGAGGGGGAAACGAAGCAGCAUCGGAGCCGCGGCACGAGGCCUCACGCAGCCCAGGGCUGCGGUAACCUGGCAACCUGCGAAAGGAAGAAGGCAGGAAGGGGACCUGUGUACAAGCAACAGCCAACUGUCACAGCCUGAGACGAUGGGAAAUGCAAGUCCACAGCAAAUCCACUCAGCACCUACAUUUACUCGAGGCCACCUGGUGGGGGAACUUAACCCCAGAUCUCUUGGGAGCUCAGUGACUCCAGCAUCCUGCCUCUGCCACGAGCUGGGAGGAAGAUCUCUGCGGUGUGUUGAAUGCUCUUUUCUUUCUGUUCCUGUGUGGCUGUGAGCCUCUGCAUGGCCAGGAGACGCCACCUGCCCCUGCCAGCCAGGCUGCCUCUGCACCUGUGCCAGAAAUCCUACCCAGGGAGUCCCUGUGCCCCAUGCAGGCCACAGGGGAGCCUCCAUCGUGCGGCAGCCCCACUCAGGUUGCAGCUCAGCCUCUGACCAAGCAUAAGGGACUUUCCUCCUCCUCUUCUCCUGGCAAUUCUGGGGGGCUCUUCCUGAAACUGGCUGGAAUGAACCUGGAAGGGUCAGGACUCACUGGAGGCAAAGGGGCUCCAGGAAGGAGGCAGAAGUUGAAGGGGGCUCUGAGGAAUCCAAAACUUGCGAUAAAAACAGCAGGAGCAAAGGCAACUGAAGGGGCAGGAAUGACGUGUGGAAGAGCACGGAAGCAGAGCCCUGCAGGCUCAGAGAACAAUUUGUAGAGAAGUCUGACUGGCCGAAGGUUUCUUCCCUUGUUCAUUUUUUGAAAAUUUACACCUCUGCUUUUAAUUGUUUCAUAUUUUACACACCUGUCGGUAAUGUUUCAUUUGAAUAAAAU